RNAcentral lists this ribosomal RNA (480 nucleotides) under uncultured bacterium. Its description in RNAcentral is "partial 16S ribosomal RNA". It matches the Rfam family "Bacterial small subunit ribosomal RNA", at positions 28 to 523 of the family's 1533-position model. The record is from RNAcentral.
GACGAACGCUGGCGGCGUGCUUAACACAUGCAAGUCGAGCGAGAGAAAUUCCUUCGAGAAGGACUCUAGCGGCGGACGGGUGAGUAACACGUGGGUAACUUGCCUCAUAGAGGGGAAUAGCCUUUCGAAAGGAAGAUUAAUACCGCAUAAGAUUGUAGUAUCGCAUGAUGCAACAAUUAAAGGAGUAAUCCGCUAUGAGAUGGACCCGCGUCGCAUUAGCUAGUUGGUGAGGUAACGGCUCACCAAGGCGACGAUGCGUAGCCGACCUGAGAGGGUGAUCGGCCAGAAUGGGACUGAGACACGGCCCAGACUCCUACGGGAGGCAGCAGUGGGGAAUAUUGCACAAUGGGGGAAACCCUGAUGCAGCAACGCCGCGUGAGUGAUGACGGUCUUCGGAUUGUAAAACUCUGUCUUCAGGGACGAUAAUGACGGUACCUGAGGAGGAAGCCACGGCUAACUACGUGCCAGCCGCCGCCGUAA